RNAcentral lists this ribosomal RNA (253 nucleotides) under uncultured bacterium. RNAcentral describes it as "partial 16S ribosomal RNA". It matches the Rfam family "Bacterial small subunit ribosomal RNA", at positions 524 to 776 of the family's 1533-position model. The record is from RNAcentral.
UACGAGGGGGGCGAGCGUUGUUCGGAAUUAUUGGGCGUAAAGGGUGCGUAGGCGGCCUGACAAGUCUGAUGUGAAAUCCCUGGGCUCAACCCAGGGCCUGCAUCGGAAACUGUCGGGCUUGAGUAUGGGAGAGGUGAGUGGAAUUUCCGGUGUAGCGGUGAAAUGCGUAGAUAUCGGAAGGAACACCUGUGGCGAAAGCGGCUCACUGGACCAUUACUGACGCUGAGGCACGAAAGCUAGGGGAGCAAACGGG